This is a non-coding RNA of Salvelinus sp. IW2-2015, 180 nucleotides long. Lineage: Eukaryota; Metazoa; Chordata; Actinopteri; Salmoniformes; Salmonidae. The record is from RefSeq and is a predicted model, not a curated record.
GUUAUCUAGAACUCCACCAGGGAGUUCACUCUGGAGAGAAACGUUGUCAGGUUAUCUAAAACUCCACCAGGGAGUCCACUCUGGAGAGAAACCGUUCUGCUGCAACUGCUUUAGAAAUUGACAGAACUUGUUAGAAUAUGGUAGAAAGUCAGUUGAUUUCAUAGAGCAGCAGUCAGUCGU